Molecule: ribosomal RNA, 253 nt
Filed under: uncultured bacterium
Lineage: Bacteria
Description: partial 16S ribosomal RNA
Rfam family: Bacterial small subunit ribosomal RNA
Source: RNAcentral
UACGGAGGAUGCAAGCGUUAUCCGGAAUGAUUGGGCGUAAAGCGUCCGCAGGUGGCAAUGUAAGUCUGCUGUUAAAGAGUCUAGCUCAACUAGAUACAAGCAGUGGAAACUACAUAGCUAGAGUACGUUCGGGGCAGAGGGAAUUCCUGGUGUAGCGGUGAAAUGCGUAGAGAUCGGGAAGAACAUCGGUGGCGAAAGCGCUCUACUGGACGGUGACUGACACUCAGGGACGAAAGCUAGGGGAGCGAAUGGG